GGGUCAGUAGGUUGGUCGUGCCACCGGUACGUACUGGUCUCACUGAUUCCUCCUUCCUGAAGAACCGUAAUGCCAUUAAUUUGGUGUUGCGGGGAAACAGGACUGUUACUUUGAAAGAAUUAGAGUGUUUAAAGCAAGCUAACGCUUGAAUACAUUAGCAUGUAAUAACGAAAUAGGACGAUCGAUCCUAUUUUGUUGGUUUCUAGGAUUGACGUA
RNAcentral lists this ribosomal RNA (216 nucleotides) under Glomeromycotina sp. Its description in RNAcentral is "partial small subunit ribosomal RNA". The stretch from base 40 to 216 matches the Rfam family "Eukaryotic small subunit ribosomal RNA", at positions 686 to 864 of the family's 1831-position model. Lineage: Eukaryota; Fungi; Glomeromycota. The record is from RNAcentral.